ACCUGACUGAUUUAGCAGACUUGACUCACUUGUAGUGACAUUGCCGUACCUGAAAAGGAUUCCGUACACUGAGACGGCUUUCCAGCAUGGUCCUAAGGUUUACCUUGAUCCUGGGCUUAUGUUUGGUGUCUGUGACUUCCUGUCCCCCGGGCACCACAUGCGACCCAUUCCAGUGCUUUGACGUGGUGUCAUGUCGUCUUUACUCCGGCUGGCAAAAUUGUCAAUGUACGCCAUUUUUCCUACCGCCACAGGGCCUGUCCUGCAUGGACUGGAUCCUCUUUACCUGCUCCGUAUACAACGUGGACCUGGACACUGUGAUGUGUGGCGGAAAUGGCUGUGAUGACCUUCCUUCGAUUUAAAGACACCAGAGUGGCCCUGUGAAAUCUUGUGAGUAAUUAUGUGUCCGUGAAGACGUGAUCGCCAUUUUACAGUAGAAUCAGUUCAAAUGCGAUUUGUUCGUC
Long non-coding RNA from Liolophura sinensis, 461 nucleotides. RefSeq lists it as uncharacterized. The transcript is spliced from 4 exons. The record is from RefSeq and is a predicted model, not a curated record. NCBI's taxonomy places the organism in Eukaryota, Metazoa, Mollusca, Polyplacophora, Chitonida, Chitonidae.